Micropterus salmoides (largemouth bass) is the source of this 202-nucleotide long non-coding RNA. RefSeq lists it as uncharacterized. NCBI's taxonomy places the organism in Eukaryota, Metazoa, Chordata, Actinopteri, Centrarchiformes, Centrarchidae. The transcript is spliced from 4 exons. The record is from RefSeq and is a predicted model, not a curated record.
GGAUAUGGUGUUCAAGCCGGCCCAACCAAUGGACAACAAAUGAAAGGCAACGGCUACGGAGCACAAGCUGGCGGAUAUGGCGGACAAGGAACUAAAGGCAAUGGUUAUGGCGCUGCUGCUGCUGCACAUAAAGGACUUGGAACAAAAGGCAACGGAGGAAAUCCGGCAGUUUUACCUAAUGGAAACGGAGGUACAUCGAAUG